RNAcentral lists this ribosomal RNA (446 nucleotides) under uncultured bacterium. Its description in RNAcentral is "bacterial SSU rRNA". It matches the Rfam family "Bacterial small subunit ribosomal RNA", at positions 94 to 558 of the family's 1533-position model. The record is from RNAcentral.
AGCGGCGGACGGGUGAGUAACGCGUGGGUAACCUGCCCUAUGGAGGGGGAUAACACAGAGAAAUCUGUGCUAAUACCGCAUAAGCGCACAGUAUCGCAUGAUACGGUGUGAAAAACUCCGGUGCCAUAGGAUGGACCCGCGUCUGAUUAGCUAGUUGGUGGGGUAAAGGCCUACCAAGGCGACGAUCAGUAGCCGACCUGAGAGGGUGAUCGGCCACAUUGGGACUGAGACACGGCCCAAACCCCUACGGGAGGCAGCAGUGGGGAAUAUUGCACAAUGGGGGAAACCCUGAUGCAGCGACGCCGCGUGAAGGAUGAAGGUCUUCGGAUCGUAAACUUCUAUCAGCAGGGAAGAAAAUGACGGUACCUGACUAAGAAGCCCCGGCUAACUACGUGCCAGCAGCCGCGGUAAUACGUAGGGGGCAAGCGUUAUCCGGAAUUACUGGG